CAACCUGCCGCUUACUCGGGGAUAGCCUUUCGAAAGAAAGAUUAAUACCCGAUGGUAUAAAGAGUUCGCAUGUUCUCUUUAUUAAAGAAUUUCGGUAAGCGAUGGGGAUGCGUUCCAUUAGAUAGUUGGCGGGGUAACGGCCCACCAAGUCUACGAUGGAUAGGGGUUCUGAGAGGAAGGUCCCCCACAUUGGAACUGAGACACGGUCCAAACUCCUACGGGAGGCAGCAGUGAGGAAUAUUGGUCAAUGGACGAGAGUCUGAACCAGCCAAGUAGCGUGAAGGAUGACUGCCCUAUGGGUUGUAAACUUCUUUUAUAAGGGAAUAAAGUGAGGGACGUGUCCCUUUUUGUAUGUACCUUAUGAAUAAGGAUCGGCUAGCUCCGUGCCAGCAGCCGCGGUAAUACGGAGGAUCCAAGCGUUAUCCGGAUUUAUUGGGUUUAAAGGGAGCGUAGGUUGACAUAUAAGUCAGCUGUGAAAGUUUACGGCUCAACCGUGAAAUUGCAGUUGAUACUGUAUGUCUUGAGUGUACAAGAGGUGGGCGGAAUUCGUGGUGUAGCGGUGAAAUGCUUAGAUAUCACGAAGAACUCCGAUUG
Molecule: ribosomal RNA, 594 nt
Filed under: uncultured Bacteroidota bacterium
Lineage: Bacteria; Pseudomonadati; Bacteroidota
Description: bacterial SSU rRNA
Rfam family: Bacterial small subunit ribosomal RNA
Source: RNAcentral